This 150-nucleotide microRNA precursor is filed under the name Pelobates cultripes (western spadefoot toad). Lineage: Eukaryota; Metazoa; Chordata; Amphibia; Anura; Pelobatidae. The record is from RNAcentral.
CGGCGACUCCGGUCAGCUGACACGUCCCGGCCAAUCUCCAGCAGACCCUCCCUCCCAGAUCCUCCUACUUCCUGGACAGCAUCCAUGGAAGUAGGAGGGUCUGGGAGGGAGGGUCUGCUGGAGAUUGGCCGGGACGUGUCAGCUGACCGG